This 1814-nucleotide long non-coding RNA is filed under the name Capsicum annuum. Its description in RNAcentral is "long non-coding RNA (CANN_LNC013309)". The record is from RNAcentral. Lineage: Eukaryota; Viridiplantae; Streptophyta; Magnoliopsida; Solanales; Solanaceae.
UCAAAAUUCAACAUCGGAAAAAGUUAUACCCAAUUUACUUUAGCAUGUCAGUCUGUCAAACUGAGGGACUGCUACGGCGUUUUUUAUUUCCUUAGGGAUAUUUUGGUAUUUUUAGUCAUCCCAAACUUUUUCUACACGAUUUAAAUCAUCCAAAAUACUCUGUAAUCCAUUUCUUUUAUUAGUUUUAAUCUCUCAAUUCCUUAACUCUCUCAAGAGUAAAAUGGAAACUAGGCUUUUUUUCAAGAUCAAGAAUCAAUCUCGCACUCUGUAAUCCAUUUCUUUUAUUAGUUUUAAUCUCUCAAUUCCUCUCCUCUCUCAAGAGUAAAAUGGAAAUUAGGCUUUCUUUCAAGAUCAAGAAUCAAUCUUGUAAGUCCAAGAUUUCCAAAGAACAAAUCAAGAUUCGAGUUCUACUCUUUAAACUUGUAAUCUAAGGUACGUGGAGUUUUCCUAAAUCUACAUGGACAUGGUAAAUUCUUAUUAAUCAUGUUAAAGGUUUAGAAAUUAUGAAUUUACAAAAAGGGGGUUUUUGAUUUAUAAUUAGAUUCAUGCUUUUAAAGUUUUUGAUGAUAUUAAUUUGAUAUUGAGGCCUUUUCCCCAAAUCUGAUUCAUAACCAUGUUUAAGUAGAUAUAUGUAUGAGUUUGAUGAGUAUGAAUUAUGAAUUGAGAGCAUGAACUAUUUGAAAUCCCUCUCUUAUUUACAAGUCUCUUAACUUCGUAAGAUAUGAUGUGUUCGAAAUAUGAUAUUGGAAAUAUAAUUUAAUAUAAAAACCUUGACUUUGUUUAUGACUUGAUUAUGAUUUUUGAAUUGAAGAGAAAGGGUUUUACAUGUUGGUAAGUGAUGAAAAUAUAUAUAUAUAUAUAUGAAAAAAAUUCAUGGGGUUGUUGAAACUCAUGACCACCACAUGUUUGUUGAAAUGAUUGAAAAAGAAUGACUUUUGCGUAAUUUGAUAAAUGUUUUGGAAGAAUGAAUCUUUCAGAAUUGCUUGAAGUAUGGUGGUUUAACCUUUGUACUUUGAAAGAGAAAAUUGUAAAGGAUAUUUUAUGGCUCAGAAUUAUGACUUGCAAGUCUUGGUAUGACGAUACCAAAUCAGAUAAAGUCAUGAUAAAACUCAGAACAGGAUACAGCUUUUAUUUUAGAUUUCAGAUUUUGAAUUCAAAAAGAUGCAUGUUUAGAAUGGGUUAAAAACUGGGCACUAAGAGAGUUAGGUGGUUACCCGAAGAAGGCACGAGUCAUGUGAUUCAUUGCCCGAAACCGUGUUUUGCCGAUACAGGUAUAUUAUUAUAUGCUGGCCUAGUGCUCUGGGGCGUAUCAGAUUCAGAUACUUCAAUCCUUGCGGCAAACUUGGGUUGGGGGCUUGGCCGUCGAGUUAAUGGCGGAUCCCAUAUUGCCCAUGGGAAACUUUCAGAUAUGUAGGGUGCACCAUUUACCUCAGAAGUAAAAAAAUAAAGAAUGGCUUUACAUCUACAGAUUUGCAUUGAAUGAUUAUUUUAAGUUGGCCAUGAGUUUUAAAUUAUUUCUUGCUUAACAUUUUUAUGAAAUGCUCUCACCUAUGUUGUAUUUAAAAGUACACUAUUUUGGAUUUCUCUGCGUAUCAGUACAUCUGUAUUGUCCCCCCCUCCAUCUCAGGAUCUGAGGCACAGUCUUGGGGUCUAGUUCAGCAAUAGGUUUGAGUGCGUCGGAAGUUGCAAUUGGUGAGCCUCCCUUACUUCGGAAGGCCUGUAUUAGAACUUGUUAUUGUUAUUUCAUUUUGAUUCAUGGCCCGACUGGGGGCUUAUCCCAGAUUUCAGACAAAUGUCAUUUUCAGUUGUUAGAG